CGGGGCGUGGCUCAGCCCGGUAGAGCACAGCGUUCGGGACGCUGAGGUCGGAGGUUCGAAUCCUCUCGCCCCGACCA
RNAcentral lists this transfer RNA (77 nucleotides) under Herpetosiphon geysericola. Its description in RNAcentral is "tRNA-Pro". It matches the Rfam family "tRNA". Rfam says of the family: Transfer RNA (tRNA) molecules are approximately 80 nucleotides in length. Their secondary structure includes four short double-helical elements and three loops (D, anti-codon, and T loops). Lineage: Bacteria; Bacillati; Chloroflexota; Chloroflexia; Herpetosiphonales; Herpetosiphonaceae. The record is from RNAcentral. RNAcentral also lists the same sequence under 4 other names.